UAAUUUUCAUCGACUGUCUUUGAUUUUUAAUUUAUAUCACAAAAGUACUCUAACUUCAAUUUGAUACUACCCUGCUUUGAUCUCUUCUUCGGCUUCAAACCACUCUCCCUGUGCCAUAUCUCUAAACCAACCACCCAUGCUAUCGACGUAGCACCUUCAGAAGCUCCUCCAUCUUCGAUUUAAUAAUGGUUACUUUGCUAUGUUGCAAAUCACCUCUCUAGAUUUUGGGGAGUUGAGGGAGCAACGAAGCAGAAGGUUAAGGUGACUAUUUGUUGAUCUGUGUUUAGAUCUACCCUCCCUUUGCUCCUUGAGCAUGAAUCUUGUAUUAUAUGUUUGAAAUUUUGGAAAAAAAAAAAUGUCAAAUACACAAUGACGAGGAAAUCUCAGCUGGAAAGAUAUGGCAGAAGAAGAUGAAGAAUUUUCUUCAAGUAAACAAUAGAAAUAUAUAGGGUUAUUUAAAGGGGCAAAGAAUUUAUGCUUUGAAUUUUGUAUUAAAAGCGAGAGCUUUUCUAAAUCAAAGAUUUGGCU
RNAcentral lists this unclassified non-coding RNA (528 nucleotides) under Hevea brasiliensis (rubber tree). Lineage: Eukaryota; Viridiplantae; Streptophyta; Magnoliopsida; Malpighiales; Euphorbiaceae. The record is from RNAcentral.